GUAGUAAAAAUAGAGAACCAAGU
Molecule: non-coding RNA, 23 nt
Filed under: Cricetulus griseus (Chinese hamster)
Lineage: Eukaryota; Metazoa; Chordata; Mammalia; Rodentia; Cricetidae
Source: RNAcentral